GUAAAAGUUACCAGGGGAUUUUUUAAAAUGAAGAUUCUGAUUGUAGAUCUAGGGUGAAGCACAAGAUUCUUCAUUUGGAAAAACUUCUAGGUGAUGCGGAU
This 101-nucleotide microRNA precursor is filed under the name Marmota monax (woodchuck). The record is from RNAcentral. Lineage: Eukaryota; Metazoa; Chordata; Mammalia; Rodentia; Sciuridae.